Molecule: long non-coding RNA, 1567 nt
Filed under: Diabrotica virgifera virgifera (western corn rootworm)
Lineage: Eukaryota; Metazoa; Arthropoda; Insecta; Coleoptera; Chrysomelidae
Description: uncharacterized LOC126885823
Source: RNAcentral
ACUUUUAAGCAAUAUUAUGUCAAUAUUUGGUAGCAGAGAGUAACAUAGUAACAUUUUAGUAUGAAUUUGAGUAAUUUAUUUAUUUUUCCUGAUCAUUAGUUUAUUCUUAUUGGUAAUCUUGCGAAUCAACGUGGAUUGUUAGACUAGUGUAAAUUUUAUUUGUUAUAUUCUGAGGUUUAAAAAAAAAUUUCUUUGAUAAUUUUUUUUUCCCGAGUAGGAGGGGAUUGUAACGGUCCACCCGUUAUAAUAUCAUUUUUAGUGCUUUAAUUAUUUUUAAAAUUAUUUUCUUUUGACCUCCCAUUUAAAUUCUUUAAUUUCUCGUAAAGGACUUCUCAUGUGACGUCACACUGUACGGAACAUAGUUGAACCGUUCCUUGUCAUUUAAUUCGUGUUCCGUGAGAGUUUGACGUCUUCCUCGCUGAAUGAGAGAGGAAUGCUCUUUAUUUGACUGUGAGCUGUGGUUCGAAUCGGUUAUACCAAUGGCGGGUUGAUAAUUUCAACUAUUUAAAUCAUUUUUGUUAAUUUCCAAGUGAAAAGCUAUCUGGAGCCUGGAGUAUGGAAACAUAUGUGUAACUCAACACCUCAUGGAAUCUGGAUAAGAAUCAACCCGCCAUUUGGGAGAAACCAUAAGAUGAAGUCAUAGCCCCUUCUUUGACCACCUAGGGAAACCACCACAGCCACAGUCAAGUCAACAUUGGGAGUAAGUCAUUUUUGGGAACAAGCUUUUUGGGAGCAUUCCAGCUCCUUUUCGUCCUGCCACCUGGGCCUACAGAGGGCAUGGGACCGCAUCAUCUUGAUGCUCAUUUCUGAGGAUGCAGCAGCAACCUCUUUAGGAGUCGUUUGGGAACAUUUAGUGUUGUGUUUUAAGUAACUAUGGUUUUUAUAUAUCAGACAUUUAUUUGAUACAUUAUGUUUAUUAAUUAUUUUUUUUCAGAUUUAGCGUACAUUUGUUUUUAUAUGACAUAUUUGUAUACUAUUGUAUUUGGUUCCCAAACUUUGUAUCUACGGUAACUUCUUGUGCACAGGAAUAAGCCUAGAGAAAAUUAGGUUUUUAAUACUUUAUUAUUGCUUUGAUAUAAUAUUACUUGCUUGUUUCCCAAAUAUUUUCUUGUUAUUCGCUUUAUUUCGAUUGUUCGGUUAAUUCGUCGUUACUUUAUUUCAUUGCAUUUUCUCGGUUAAGUUAGGUCAUCGUUUCGGUAUUAAUUACUUCAUUACUAUAACUUUAUUCAUUUGUAUAUUUAACUUUAUUUAUUCAUUAUGGUAUUUUCUCUUAGUGAGGCUUGGGCCUAUUUAUUUGUAGUAUUUUCAUCUUUGUCAGUUUCCUUUAGUUGUACGUCGCAGGCGUACUAUAACCAUUUGGUAGAAGACAUAUGUAAUUUUGUACACUAUAUGUUAGUAAGAGGUACUUAUACCUUUAAGUUUUGUAACAGGUAACAUUAUUAUUAUCUCAAAUAUAACUUUUUGUAUAACUUAUGUCAUUUUAGAGUCACAUGAUAUGCACUUUGUGUAACUCAGAGAUUGUCCAAGAUCUAGUAGUUAUUUUUAAUAAAUAUUUACUUAUUUUGUA